GACGAACGCUGGCGGCGUGCCUAAUACAUGCAAGUCGAACGCUUUUUCUUUCACCGGAGCUUGCUCCACCGAAAGAAAAAGAGUGGCGAACGGGUGAGUAACACGUGGGUAACCUGCCCAUCAGAAGGGGAUAACACUUGGAAACAGGUGCUAAUACCGUAUAACACUAUUUUCCGCAUGGAAGAAAGUUGAAAGGCGCUUUUGCGUCACUGAUGGAUGGACCCGCGGUGCAUUAGCUAGUUGGUGGGGUAACGGCUCACCAAGGCAACGAUGGAUAGCCGACCUGAGAGGGUGAUCGGCCACAAUGGGACUGAGACACGGCCCAGACUCCUACGGGAGGCAGCAGUAGGGAAUCGUCGGCAAUGGACGAAAGUCUGACCGAGCAACGCCGCGUGAGUGAAGAAGGUUUUCGGAUCGUAAAACUCUGUUGUUAGAGAAGAACAAGGAUGAGAGUAAAACGUUCAUCCCUUGACGGUAUCUAACCAGAAAGCCACGGCUAACUACGUGCCAGCCGCCGCCGUAA
This 523-nucleotide ribosomal RNA is filed under the name uncultured bacterium. Its description in RNAcentral is "partial 16S ribosomal RNA". It matches the Rfam family "Bacterial small subunit ribosomal RNA", at positions 28 to 523 of the family's 1533-position model. The record is from RNAcentral.